RNAcentral lists this unclassified non-coding RNA (508 nucleotides) under Hevea brasiliensis (rubber tree). Lineage: Eukaryota; Viridiplantae; Streptophyta; Magnoliopsida; Malpighiales; Euphorbiaceae. The record is from RNAcentral.
GUGGUGGACUCAUUGAGGGGAGGUAGCUUUGGGUGGAUUAGCAUACUUGUGCAAAAAGAGUAAACAAUCUUAAAGAAAGUUCAUAGGAAUUAAAAAUAAACUUAUAGGAACAGUGUUGAAGUUUGUUAAACUAAAAUAAAAAGCAUCUAAAAGAAAAAGUUGUUUGGGAGGGGUAGGUGCAUAGUGGAGUUGUGGAUGGGGUAUUGGAUGAACAGGCACUCUAGUGAAAAUGAGUAAACAGAUUUAACAAUGUUUAUUAAAAAAAUAAAAAAGAAAUAAAAAAAGGGUAUUGGAUGAACAGGCACUCUAGUGAAAAUGAGUAAACAGAUUUAACAAUGUUUAUUAAAAAAAUAAAAAAGAAAUAAAAAAAGAGAGUAAAGAAAUACCUAUCUGUUCCUAUGCACCGUUUCAUAGGAAAAAUGCCAAGGAUUCAACUAUUUUGUGUGUGUGUAUCAAAAUAAACCACAACAAAAGCAUUCAAGAAAUAUACACACACACACACACACAC